GCCGGGAUAGCUCAGUUGGUAGAGCAGAGGACUG
RNAcentral lists this transfer RNA (34 nucleotides) under Hillebrandia sandwicensis. RNAcentral's name for it is "partial tRNA-Phe". The record is from RNAcentral. RNAcentral also lists the same sequence under 16 other names. Lineage: Eukaryota; Viridiplantae; Streptophyta; Magnoliopsida; Cucurbitales; Begoniaceae.